Molecule: ribosomal RNA, 350 nt
Filed under: uncultured Acidobacteriota bacterium
Lineage: Bacteria; Pseudomonadati; Acidobacteriota
Description: bacterial SSU rRNA
Rfam family: Bacterial small subunit ribosomal RNA
Source: RNAcentral
AAUCAACGNCUGGCGGCGUGCCUAACACAUGCAAGUCGAGCGAAAAAAGGGGGGCCACUCCCUUGAGUACAGCGGCACACGGGUUGAGUAACACGUGGGUAAUCUGCCCCGAAAUGGGGAAUAACACCGGNGAAACCGGUGCUAAUACCGCAUACGAUCACGGGGUCUGCGGAUCUUGUGAUGAAAGGAGCAAUUCCCUUUACGAGGAGCCCGCCGCUGAUUAACUACUUGGUGAGGUAAUGGCUCACCAAGGCAGCGAUCAAUAUCCGGUCUGACAGGACGGACGGACACACUGGAACUGAGAGACAGUCCACACUCCUACGGGAGGCAGGAGUGGGGAAUAUAUGGCA